GUAUAUUGGACAAUGGGGGGAACCCUGAUCCAGCCAUGCCGCGUGUGUGAAGAAGGCCUUUUGGUUGUAAAGUACUUUCAGCGAGGAGGAGGCUACUCUAGUUAAUACCUAGGGAUCGUGGACGUUACUCGCUGAAUAAGCCCCGGCCAACUCUGUGCCAGCAGCCGCGGUAAUACAGAGGGUGCAAGCGUUAAUCGGAUUUACUGGGCGUAAAGCGCGCGUAGGUGGCCAAUGAAGUCAAAUGUGAAAUCCCCGAGCUUAACUUGGGAAUUGCAUUCGAUACUGGUCGGCUAGAGUAUGGGAGAGGAUGGUAGAAUUCCAGGUGUAGCGGUGAAAUGCGUAGAGAUCUGGAGGAAUACCGAUGGCGAAGGCAGCCAUCUGGCCUAAUACUGACACUGAGGUGCGAAGGCAUGGGGAGCAAAC
Molecule: ribosomal RNA, 423 nt
Filed under: uncultured bacterium
Lineage: Bacteria
Description: partial 16S ribosomal RNA
Rfam family: Bacterial small subunit ribosomal RNA
Source: RNAcentral